AAAGGUUGACUCAAAUAUCCAAAGGUUAAUAGGGGUCAACUUGUCCCAUCCUAGGGUCAACUUAUAAAAUACUAGGAUCGACUCAAGAGCAAGUUAUUUUUCACUACUCUGUCUUCAUCCUAAGACCAUUCUAAGCUCGACUCAUCUGAAAUUGGGGUUGGCUCCUGUCCUACUAGGGUUGAUUUAUGAGAGGGUCAAAUUUUAUAGCUUUCUAUCUACAUCCUGAAACUAUUUUGAAGUCGACUCGACACCCGCUAAGGUCGGCUCAUGAAUUAUGCCAGCCUUUUUCAAGCAUGUCAAGGUUAACUCCUGAUAUUAUGGGGUCGGCUCUGGAACUUUAAAAUGAUUGUUUGCCUUCUAUUGAAGCCUAUGGUCAUUCAAGGAUCGGCUCCUAAAAUCUUUAAAGAACAUAAAGUUUGGUUACUUUAGAGAGGGUUUCUUUUUGAUUUCGUCUAUAACCUUUGAGCAUUAUAAAAACUCCUACCAUCAUUCUCUCAAACAUGCUUUAGGACUAUUUGUUCUCAAGCAUUUUGGCAUCAUCAAAAUUAAUUUUUAGAUCAAUAAUCUUAUUUAUCAAUUUUAUUCACAUACUUUUUCACUUUCCUAUCUUCCAUGGAUUGAGUAAAUUCUAAAUCUCCUAAUGAAGGCAAACGUUCUCAUUUUAUAAAUCCACUAGGCAAAAUCUUCAUCGUUGAUUCGCCAUGAGGUUUUUUUUUUCCUUUUUUGGUUGUGGUUUGGAGGUGGGUGGGUGGUAUACCGCAUAUAUGUAUCUAAUACA
This 778-nucleotide long non-coding RNA is filed under the name Elaeis guineensis (African oil palm). RNAcentral's name for it is "long non-coding RNA (EGUI_LNC067880)". Lineage: Eukaryota; Viridiplantae; Streptophyta; Magnoliopsida; Arecales; Arecaceae. The record is from RNAcentral.